RNAcentral lists this long non-coding RNA (654 nucleotides) under Brachypodium distachyon (stiff brome). RNAcentral's name for it is "long non-coding RNA (BDIS_LNC003415)". Lineage: Eukaryota; Viridiplantae; Streptophyta; Magnoliopsida; Poales; Poaceae. The record is from RNAcentral.
CCAGCCAAUUUUCCCAAAUAAAAAACAGAGGAGAACAAGACGGAGGAGCUAGAGUGCUAGACCAGACCGGUCCAACAAAAAUCGAUUCCUCUUCUUCUCUCACGCGUCUGCUAACCCCGACCAUUCCCACGACGGAGACGAUGAGCCGAGCUGCGAUUUCUCGGAUCGACUUGUGUCAGACGAAUCGGGCUGCGAUUUUUCAGAUCGAAUUGGUCAGCGGAGCAGGUGGGGCGUCGGGGAUGGCGGACGAGGUGGGGAGUCAGGGCCGGCGGAGAAGCAGGAGGACCUCCAGGCAGCGUAGAGGGGCCUCGGGGGGCCCGUUCCACCGGACGCCUUCGGGCGGUGCAGUCGGUGAAGGCAGAUCGGGCGGCGGUGACGGGAGAUGGAGGUGGCGGAGACCCUGUUCGGGACGGGGAAGAGGAACCGACAUCGGUCAGUUGGGUGAGGGAGGAAACAAGACCGCGAAUCGUUUUGUGGCAUUUUGUGCGUUAUAUGUUGUUUGGUGGGAGGGUAUUCCUGUAAAAUGGUUCGUUUGGAGCAGCAUCUGCCACAAGAAUCACUGAUUUGGGUGCUUCUCAUCGCUAGUUCAUUAUGUAGGAGCGCUCCAAGGCGGCAGCUUCGAGAAUCUAGGUCGAAAAGGGAUGUUUGUUUGGG